Molecule: ribosomal RNA, 253 nt
Filed under: uncultured bacterium
Lineage: Bacteria
Description: partial 16S ribosomal RNA
Rfam family: Bacterial small subunit ribosomal RNA
Source: RNAcentral
UACGAAGGGAGCUAGCGUUGUUCGGAAUCACUGGGCGUAAAGCGCACGUAGGCGGAUUUGUAAGUCAGGGGUGAAAUCCCGGGGCUGAACCUCGGAACUGCCUUUGAUACUGCAAAUCUCGAGUCCGGAAGAGGUGGGUGGAAUUCCUAGUGUAGAGGUGAAAUUCGUAGAUAUUAGGAAGAACACCGGUGGCGAAGGCGGCCCACUGGUCCGGUACUGACGCUGAGGUGCGAAAGCGUGGGGAGCAAACAGG